AAGAGAAAACUACCACAUAAAGACUGCUAAUUACUUAUGCUCAUGGCUAAAUUCCAUGAUUCUCUUG
RNAcentral lists this transfer RNA (67 nucleotides) under Herpele squalostoma. RNAcentral describes it as "tRNA-Ser". The record is from RNAcentral. Lineage: Eukaryota; Metazoa; Chordata; Amphibia; Gymnophiona; Herpelidae.